This is a long non-coding RNA of Neomonachus schauinslandi (Hawaiian monk seal), 215 nucleotides long. RefSeq lists it as uncharacterized. Lineage: Eukaryota; Metazoa; Chordata; Mammalia; Carnivora; Phocidae. The transcript has 3 exons. The record is from RefSeq and is a predicted model, not a curated record.
ACCCGGCCUUCGGCUUCUGCUUCCUCCUCCUCUCCUUCCUGAAGCCUUCUCCCUAGACAGGGAUCUGAGAAGCCGGGGCUGAGGAUUCCCAGCUGUGGGGGCUCCAUCUGGCUCUCCUGUCUCUGACUCUCCAAGGACAAGAACCAUCUGGAGGGAAGGGCCUGGGUGGCCUAAAGACAAGAGGAAUUUCCAUAUCCACUGUGAACCCUUCAUUU